CAUUGCUCAGAAUGAGGUAGGGUACUGGCAACAGUGCUCUGCUGAAUAUUUUCACCCAUGUCUUUUGCGCACUUUUUGUUUCCUGGGCGAGUUUGCUCGCCACCAGGACCCCCAUAUGAACCUUUUUUGUUUUUGCACUCAGCGUCAGUACAAUAAUUUAAUCUAUUAAAACUUUCAACAACGGAUCUCUUGGUUCUGGCAUCGAUGAAGAACGCAGCGAAAUGCGAUACGUAGUGUGAAUUGCAGAAUUCAGUGAAUCAUCGAAUCUUUGAACGCACAUUGCGCCCUUUGGUAUUCCAAAGGGCAUGCCUGUUCGAGCGUCAUUUGUACCCUCAAGCUUUGCUUGGUGUUGGGCGUCUUAUUGUCUCUCCGUCUCGGGGAGACUCGCCUUAAAACAAUUGGCAGCCGGCCUACUGGUUUCGGAGCGCAGCACAAAUUUGCGCUUGCAAUCAGCCAAGGGCGGCAUCCAUGAAGCCUUUUUUCUCUCACAUUUUGACCUCGGAUCAGGUAGGGAUACCCGCUGAACUUAAGCAUAUCAAUAGGCCCGGAGGAAAUGGAGU
This 560-nucleotide ribosomal RNA is filed under the name Exserohilum turcicum. RNAcentral describes it as "eukaryotic LSU rRNA". The stretch from base 170 to 323 matches the Rfam family "5.8S ribosomal RNA". Lineage: Eukaryota; Fungi; Ascomycota; Dothideomycetes; Pleosporales; Pleosporaceae. The record is from RNAcentral.